Diuraphis noxia (Russian wheat aphid) is the source of this 278-nucleotide long non-coding RNA. The record is from RefSeq and is a predicted model, not a curated record. Lineage: Eukaryota; Metazoa; Arthropoda; Insecta; Hemiptera; Aphididae.
UACACCCUUGGGACUGUCACACAUUUAGUUUUAUAAUAUUAUUGUUAUUUUUUUUUUAUUGUUCAAAUGUGUGCAUCCUGAGGCGGUAGCGUUUUUGGUUCGAAGCCGCUAACGGACACCAGUUCUAAAGUUGACUGAGAACAUUGUUGACAAUGAUAAUCCCAAAUAGGAYUUAAAACGAUACCAUUGAAGGCUCUAAAAUGUCCAACUUAUCAUUAUCAACAGCUACAAAAUUGUCKUUAACAUUCAGAGGAACAUAAUGAGAAAUUUAAAAAAAA